CAAGGAUUCCCCUAGUAACGGCGAGUGAAGCGGGAAGAGCUCAAAUUUAAAAUCUGGCGGUGUAUUCCGUCCGAGUUGUAGUCUAGAGAAGCAUCAUCCGUGCUGGACCAUGUACAAGUCUCUUGGAACAGAGCGUCAUAGAGGGUGAGAAUCCCGUCCUUGACAUGGACUGCCAGUACUUUGUGUUGUGCUCUCAACGAGUCGAGUUGUUUGGGAAUGCAGCUCAAAAUGGGUGGUAAAUUCCAUCUAAAGCUAAAUAUUGGCGAGAGACCGAUAGCGAACAAGUACCGUGAGGGAAAGAUGAAAAGCACUUUGGAGAGAGAGUUAAACAGUACGUGAAAUUGUUGAAAUGGAAACGCUUGAAGUCAGUCGUUCUCUGGGAUUCAGCCUUGCUUCUGCUUGGUGCAUUUCCUAGUCUACGGGCCAGCAUGAAUUUUGACCAAUGGAAAAAGCUGGGGGAAUGUGGCACCUUCGGGUGUGUUAUAGCCCCUUGUCAUACACGUUGGUUGGGAUUGAGGUCUUAGUGCACGCUCCGGUUGUGCUUUGAUGCUGGCGUAAUGGCUUUAAACGACCCGUCUUGAAACACGGACCAAGGAGUCUAACAUGUCUGCAAGUGUUUGGGUGCAAAACCCGAGCGCGUAAUGAAAG
RNAcentral lists this ribosomal RNA (648 nucleotides) under Thanatephorus sp. AG-5. RNAcentral describes it as "eukaryotic LSU rRNA". It matches the Rfam family "Eukaryotic large subunit ribosomal RNA", at positions 69 to 725 of the family's 3401-position model. Lineage: Eukaryota; Fungi; Basidiomycota; Agaricomycetes; Cantharellales; Ceratobasidiaceae. The record is from RNAcentral.